This is a non-coding RNA of Notechis scutatus (mainland tiger snake), 150 nucleotides long. NCBI's taxonomy places the organism in Eukaryota, Metazoa, Chordata, Lepidosauria, Squamata, Elapidae. The record is from RefSeq and is a predicted model, not a curated record.
CCUAAUAACUGGCUGGGUGGGCGUGGCUGGGUGGUCAUGAGACUGGGUGGGUAUGGCCAACUCGGCAUGGAUUCUUUGCCCUAAUUAACUAAAAAAGAUAUAUACCAAAAAAGCUUCCAUGGUGGUGCAGUGGUUAGAGUGCAGUACUGC